GAUGAACGCUGGCGGCGUGCCUAAUACAUGCGAGUCGAGCGAACGGACGAGAAGCUUGCUUUUCUGAUGUUAGCGGCGGACGGGUGAGUAACACGUGGAUAACCUACCUAUAAGACUGGGAUAACUUCGGGAAACCGGAGCUACUACCGGAUAAUAUUUUGAAUCGCAUGGUUCAAAAGUGAAAGACGGUCUUGCUGUCACUUAUAGAUGGAUCCGCGCUGCAUUAGCUAGUUGGUAAGGUAACGGCUUACCAAGGCAACGAUGCAUAGCCGACCUGAGAGGGUGAUCGGCCACACUGGAACUGAGACGCGGUCCAGACUCCUACGGGAGGCAGCAGUAGGGAAUCUUCCGCAAUGGGCGAAAGCCUGACGGAGCAACGCCGCGUGAGUGAUGAAGGUCUUCGGAUCGUAAAACUCUGUUAUUAGGGAAGAACAUAUGUGUAAGUAACUGUGCACAUCUUGACGGUACCUAAGCAGAAAGCGACGGCUAACUACGUG
This 497-nucleotide ribosomal RNA is filed under the name uncultured bacterium. Its description in RNAcentral is "partial 16S ribosomal RNA". It matches the Rfam family "Bacterial small subunit ribosomal RNA", at positions 28 to 507 of the family's 1533-position model. The record is from RNAcentral.